AGCAGCAGCCGCGGGAAUACAGAGGGUGCGAGCGUUAAUCGGAUUUACUGGGCGUAAAGCGUGCGUAGGCGGCUUCUUAAGUCGGAUGUGAAAUCCCUGAGCUUAACUUAGGAAUUGCAUUCGAUACUGGGAAGCUAGAGUAUGGGAGAGGAUGGUAGAAUUCCAGGUGUAGCGGUGAAAUGCGUAGAGAUCUGGAGGAAUACCGAUGGCGAAGGCAGCCAUCUGGCCUAAUACUGACGCUGAGGUACGAAAGCAUGGGGAGCAAACAGGAUUAGAUACCCCCGUAGUCCCUGUCUCUUAUAU
Molecule: ribosomal RNA, 303 nt
Filed under: uncultured bacterium
Lineage: Bacteria
Description: partial 16S ribosomal RNA
Rfam family: Bacterial small subunit ribosomal RNA
Source: RNAcentral